RNAcentral lists this long non-coding RNA (694 nucleotides) under Pongo abelii (Sumatran orangutan). Its description in RNAcentral is "lincRNA". Lineage: Eukaryota; Metazoa; Chordata; Mammalia; Primates; Hominidae. The record is from RNAcentral.
AGAUGAGGCAGCGCAGGGGCUGCUGCUUCGCCACCUGCUGCUUGGCCACCUGCUGCUUCGCCGCGAAAGAGUUCCCGUGCCGUGGGAGCAAGUCUGGGACCGCUGGUCGGACCCGAGAGUCCCAGCUGUGUGUUAGGGCUAGGAUGGCUCCGGGAUUCGUGUGAGGCAAGUGACCGUGCGUGUAAAGGGAUACGUGAUCCCUUGCUCAGGCUGAAGAACUGACCCACUUACAACAGAAGAUGCAGGAAGGGAGAAGUGUCUGCUACCUUUUCACCCAGCAUGUGAAGAACACAGUCAAGUCUUUUGGGGCCUUCUCAGGAACACUGGCAUUGCCUACUACCAGAGACAGAGAUUCUGUGAGCAAAUGGUACAAGGAAGCCAGCUGACAGAGAUCCUUGUCAGAAAACUUGCCACAGAAGAUGAGAUCCAGAGCCAGUGGCAGCACCUGAAGUAAACCCUUUUCAUCAACAACGGCCUGCAAGAAAAGCUGGAACGUCAUCUCAGCAGCUUUGACAAAGAAAAUGGUAGGAGAGGCCCAAGUCGGCCUGCUUCUGGCAAUAUGUAUUUUUCUAAAGGAUGCACCUCUAACCUCUACAGGCACAUCAUAGAUUCCAUUGCCCAGCUGUAUAAUGAAAACAGAGUUCUCAGAGAAUACCGGAGACUCCCCUGACUUGCCUGAAUCAAGUUUCCAGAG